This is a long non-coding RNA of Gavialis gangeticus (Gharial), 210 nucleotides long. RefSeq lists it as uncharacterized. The record is from RefSeq and is a predicted model, not a curated record. The transcript has 3 exons. Lineage: Eukaryota; Metazoa; Chordata; Crocodylia; Gavialidae.
UAUUUUCCAAGAUCUUAGUACAAUAUAUUUAGGUCAAAAAUAUUGUUCAUUUUUCAAGAACAUAGUACAACAUAUUUAACAUUUAAUAUUCAACAUGGAGUGAAAAGAAAAGUCAAGUGUCAAGAUAAUAAUGACAACUGAGCUGAAAAAAAGGCAAGCGUCAAUAUAAUAAUGACAAUUGAACUGAAUUCACAGCAGCUGAAAUGGAGA